Molecule: unclassified non-coding RNA, 341 nt
Filed under: soil metagenome
Description: partial contains 5.8S ribosomal RNA, internal transcribed spacer 2, and large subunit ribosomal RNA
Rfam family: 5.8S ribosomal RNA (bases 1-120)
Source: RNAcentral
GAUGAAGAACGUAGCGAAAUGCGAUAAGUAGUGUGAAUUGCAGAAUUCAGUGAAUCAUCGAAUCUUUGAACGCACAUUGCGCCCUUUGGUAUUCCAAUGGGCAUGCCUGUUCGAGCGUCAUUUGUACCCUCAAGCUUUGCUUGGUGUUGGGCGUCUUGUCUCUAGCUUUGCUGGAGACUCGCCUUAAAGUAAUUGGCAGCCGGCCUACUGGUUUCGGAGCGCAGCACAAGUCGCACUCUCUAUCAGCAAAGGUCUAGCAUCCAUUAAGCCUUUUUUUCAACUUUUGACCUCGGAUCAGGUAGGGAUACCCGCUGAACUUAAGCAUAUCAAUAAGCGGAGGA